CCUACGGGUGGCAGCAGUGGGGAAUAUUGGACAAUGGGCGAAAGCCUGAUCCAGCCAUGCCGCGUGUGUGAAGAAGGCCUUCGGGUUGUAAAGCACUUUCAGUGGGGAAGAAAGCCUUGGGGCUAAUACCCUCGAGGAAGGACAUCACCCACAGAAGAAGCACCGGCUAACUCCGUGCCAGCAGCCGCGGUAAUACGGAGGGUGCGAGCGUUAAUCGGAAUUACUGGGCGUAAAGCGCGCGUAGGCGGUCUGAUAAGCCGGUUGUGAAAGCCCCGGGCUCAACCUGGGAACGGCAUCCGGAACUGUCAGGCUAGAGUGCAGGAGAGGAAGGUAGAAUUCCCGGUGUAGCGGUGAAAUGCGUAGAGAUCGGGAGGAAUACCAGUGGCGAAGGCGGCCUUCUGGACUGUCACUGACGCUGAGGUGCGAAAGCGUGGGUAGCAAACAGGAUUAGAUACCCUUGUAGUC
RNAcentral lists this ribosomal RNA (465 nucleotides) under Vreelandella stevensii. Its description in RNAcentral is "partial 16S ribosomal RNA". It matches the Rfam family "Bacterial small subunit ribosomal RNA", at positions 338 to 795 of the family's 1533-position model. The record is from RNAcentral. Lineage: Bacteria; Pseudomonadati; Pseudomonadota; Gammaproteobacteria; Oceanospirillales; Halomonadaceae.